CGAUCCUCCAACUUCAGCCCCCUGAGUAGCUGGGACUACAGAUCCCAGGUACCGAACUGAAGAUGGUAGAGGAAAAGUUUUUCCUGCUUAACAUAUUCAACUCUCUACCCUCAAUAUAUUUGGCUGUUAUUAUUCUGGUUUACAUGUAUCAUAAUUUAACCAGUUCCCUACUGGUGGAUGUCUAGGUUUCCCCGAUGUUUUGCUAUUAAAAACACACAUGGUACACGUUUUUCUAGAUCGGGCAGGGUUUGCCCAUCUCCACUUCAAGCAGCACAACCACCAUCUGCCAGUGUUGGGGUUUACUCUACAGUCAGCAAACACUGUUGGCACAUCCAGUCAGAGAAACUGAAAACAGAAAGCAGAAAUGGCUUACACUGGACUAAUUUUAGAAUUUCUAAGUACAUUUAAGUGAUGACUCAUCCCACUUAAAUUCAAAGCUGUUUGUUGUGCCAUCUGGCUCAUCAGAACAUGAAAGACUUCUCCUGCAACCUGGAAAAAGGCCAGAGAGGAAGACGAAUGGAGGAGUCAACCCCAUGGGAAUGCUGACUGAGUGUUAGCUCCCCGUGGACAGGAAUGUCACUGCAUGAAUAGGCUGCAGUAUGUCUGGGCCUGUUUUUUUUUCAUAAAAUGUUCCCCCCCUGUUUUUUUCUUAUUCCAAAGCAAUGCAACAAAAAGCACAAGAAAUCAAAAAGGAAAAAAUAGAUAUUGGACUUCAUCAAAAUGAAAAACUUUUGUGCUUCAAAGGAAAUGGAAAGAAAGUGAAAAAACAACUGAGGGAAUGGAAGAAAAUAUUCUCAAAUCAUCAUCUAACAAAGGUUGUGUUAGUCUGUUCAGGUUGCUGUAACAAAAUAUCAUUUCAGGUCACCAGGUGGCUUAAACAACAGAUUCAGUUGGCCCUCCGUAUCCAUGGGUUUCAGGCCUUCGACUUCAACCAACCUCAAAUAAAAAAUAUUUUUAAAACCCAA
Molecule: long non-coding RNA, 965 nt
Organism: Homo sapiens (human)
Lineage: Eukaryota; Metazoa; Chordata; Mammalia; Primates; Hominidae
Exons: 2
Source: RefSeq, a predicted model, not a curated record